RNAcentral lists this ribosomal RNA (494 nucleotides) under uncultured bacterium. Its description in RNAcentral is "partial 16S ribosomal RNA". It matches the Rfam family "Bacterial small subunit ribosomal RNA", at positions 30 to 523 of the family's 1533-position model. The record is from RNAcentral.
AUUGAACGCUGGCAGCAUGCCUUACACAUGCAAGUCGAACGGUAGAGGGGCAACCCUUGAGAGUGGCGAACGGGUGAGUAAUGCAUCGGAACAUGCCUAAUUGUGGGGGAUAACGUAGCGAAAGUUACGCUAAUACCGCAUAAGAUCUACGGAUGAAAGCGGGGGAUCGCAAGACCUCGCGCAAUUAGAGUGGCUGAUGUCAGAUUAGGUAGUUGGUGGGGUAAAAGCUCACCAAGCCGACGAUCUGUAGCUGGUCUGAGAGGACGACCAGCCACACUGGGGCUGAGACACGGCCCAGAGUCCUACGGGAGGCAGCAGUGGGGAAUUUUGGACAAUGGACGAAAGUCUGAUCCAGCAAUGCCGCGUGCAGGACGAAGGCCUUCGGGUUGUAAACUGCUUUUGUACGGAGCGAAACAGCUCUUCCUAAUACGGAGGGCGAAUGACGGUACCGUAAGAAUAAGCACCGGCUAACUACGUGCCAGCAGCCGCCGUAA